RNAcentral lists this long non-coding RNA (1139 nucleotides) under Ursus americanus (American black bear). RNAcentral describes it as "lncRNA (ENSUAMG00000009723.1)". Lineage: Eukaryota; Metazoa; Chordata; Mammalia; Carnivora; Ursidae. The record is from RNAcentral.
CAUUAAUCUUCACAUAGAACAAAAGUCCAAAUUGAAAAAAAUGAUAAAUGCCAUAUCAUGUAACAAUUUUAUCUUUUUUAUUGGGUAUUUCUGUAUUUACUGAUUGCAUUGGACUGUCAACAAGCAUAUUAGCUUCUCUAGAACCAUGAUACUGAAUAGCUAAUUUUUUUUUUUGCUCUCUAAUUUACAAAGUAAAAUUAAAAGUACAUGACAUUGCUUUUACUCAAGAAAACUUCACUCAUUCUGAAUCUAUUAGAACAUUGUUGCNUCUUUUGUCUUCUAUUUUCUGUUCUCACUGGUUCAACAUGUAAAAUUACUUAUGCUUCAAAACUGAAGUUUGAGGUAAAAAUAUUUUGCAUCAAUAACUUCUCUAAUUUCCAAAGUACUUUCAUUACCUCAUUUCCCCUCCAUAUAUGUGUGAAGUGGUUUUAUUCUCUAUUCUGUCAGUAUUCAGUUUAAAGGAGAGAGUUUAUUCUUACUAACAGGAGGAAACAGAGCUAUAUAAUUCUGAACGGUGAAAAAAAUUUUUUAAGUAUUUAGCUUUGAAAGAUGGUUUUGUGAUUUUACUUGAAUAGGGGUGUGUCUGAUAUUCAGGGAAUUUCCUUCAAGCAAAAUCAUGAAGCAAUGAGGCCAUACUAUUAAAAUCUAAUUUAAGAUGAGCUGGGAAUAUAUCCUGUUUCCACAUCUGGAAACCUGUUGAGCUCUUCCCUAAAAUUCAGUCCAUUCUGCAGACUGAGGCAAGGUCCAUUCUGGAACAGGGAGAUGGCUAAAUGUUGUGGUUUCAAAGGUAGUCUUUACCUAAAAUUAGAGGGACCUGAGAUACAACAAAGUGGGAUAGGUUGAACCCAUGCUCACUAUAGUUGAUUGAUUAUAUCUGAAAACAAGAUUAGCCACAAAUAACCAAAUUUAAAUAGUCUAGAGUUGACUCUACACUUAUUAAUAGUUACUUAUGUAUUUAUUGUUUUAUGUCAGCAUAUGUGUCUCUCCAAUUAAACUAUAAACAUAUUAAAGGCUUGAUUCAUUUCUGAUCUUUAAAAGUCAAUUAGGGUACACUACAUUUGUUAUACUCAUAAAUGUCUUAGAUCACAAAGAAGUCUUAAAAAAAUAAAAUCUUUCUCAAUUUAAGACUGUUAGAAAUU